Long non-coding RNA from Oxyura jamaicensis (ruddy duck), 741 nucleotides. RefSeq lists it as uncharacterized. Lineage: Eukaryota; Metazoa; Chordata; Aves; Anseriformes; Anatidae. The record is from RefSeq and is a predicted model, not a curated record. The transcript is spliced from 3 exons.
GCCAGUAAAUGGGAGUGAAGAGAAAUUCUGGGUUCUGGGGAAAUUCUGUUUGCUCUUUGGAAAUGCAAGGAGCUAGACCUUUGCAAACAUUUGGUUGGAUUCCACUGUCAGUCUAUGUAUUAUGCGGUAUUUAUACCUUAGUAUAACUCCUCUGAUUGUCAUUAAUUGUUCAGAUUAAGUCUAGUAUAAGUUCAAUCAGCAUUCUUCUCCAGCACAGCCAACUGCCUCACAGCUCACACUUCAUCUUGUUUUACAUUUUGCAAGGCAUUUGCAUAAUAAAUAUAUGGAGUUAAAUGUGGUGAAUUGAAUUUUUUCUUAAUCUGACUUGCAGUGCUAACGUUGAGUAGCAGAUGUGCCUAUUACCUACCAUCUGAGCAGCUGAAUCAGUCACAGCACGUACACUUCCCACUGUUUUUUAUCACUUCUCUUCCUGUUUGUUCUUGUGACUCAACUUAAAAUGAAAUAACUGAAACUUUUGAUUUAGGUCCCGUGCCUUUGUUCGGGAAAAAAAAUGUAUCUUCAAAAAAACACUGGAUCACAUAGCUAUGAUUGCAAAGCACACUUCUUGGUUCUUUGUCUGAGUUAUGCAUUUAUCAUGUUUUAUUAACCGGUUCUAAAUUUUACCCUUUCAAACCCACAAUUGUGUACAAGCCUUGCACUUGCAAGGUUUAUAUUUCACAUAGAUGCUUUUCUGUGAGAAGGGUAACCUUCUGUAAAGCCUGUGUGGAUCUUAGGUUUGGG